CAGUCGCCGCGGUAAUACGUAGGUGGCAAGCGUUGUCCGGAAUUAUUGGGCGUAAAGGGCUCGCAGGCGGUUUCUUAAGACUGAUGUGAAAGCCCCCGGCUCAACCGGGGAGGGUCAUUGGAAACUGGGAAACUUAAGUGCAGAAGAGGAGAGUGGAAUUCCACGUGUAGCGGUGAAAUGCGUAGAGAUGUGGAGGAACACCAGUGGCGAAGGCGACUCUCUGGUCUGUAACUGACGCUGAGGAGCGAAAGCGUGGGGAGCGAACAGGAUUAGAGACCCCUGUAGUCCCUGUCUCUUAUAC
This 301-nucleotide ribosomal RNA is filed under the name uncultured bacterium. Its description in RNAcentral is "partial 16S ribosomal RNA". It matches the Rfam family "Bacterial small subunit ribosomal RNA", at positions 509 to 807 of the family's 1533-position model. The record is from RNAcentral.